CACUCCUGCGGGAGGCAGCAGUGGGGAAUUUUGGACAAUGGGCGAAAGCCUGAUCCAGCAAUGCCGCGUGAGUGAAGAAGGCCUUCGGGUUGUAAAGCUCUUUUGUCAGGGAAGAAACGGUGAGAGCUAAUAUCUUUUGCUAAUGACUGUACCUGAAGAAUAAGCACCGGCUAACUACGUGCCAGCAGCCGCGGUAAUACGUAGGGUGCAAGCGUUAAUCGGAAUUACUGGGCGUAAAGCGUGCGCAGGCGGUUUUGUAAGUCUGAUGUGAAAUCCCCGGGCUCAACCUGGGAAUUGCAUUGGAGACUGCAAGGCUAGAAUCUGGCAGAGGGGGGUAGAAUUCCACGUGUAGCAGUGAAAUGCGUAGAUAUGUGGAGGAACACCGAUGGCGAAGGCAGCCCCCUGGGUCAAGAUUGACGCUCAUGCACGAAAGCGUGGGGAGCAAACAGGAUUAGAAACCCGAGUAGUCCCA
This 472-nucleotide ribosomal RNA is filed under the name uncultured organism. Its description in RNAcentral is "partial 16S ribosomal RNA". It matches the Rfam family "Bacterial small subunit ribosomal RNA", at positions 334 to 797 of the family's 1533-position model. The record is from RNAcentral.